CUACUUUAUUUCCCUUUGGAUGGGCGCUCAUGUCGGCGUGGGGCACAGCGGCCGCCGAGGGAGCCGAGCCGGCGGAUGUGGAGGCUGCCGAGCGGCGGUGCUCGCGUGAAGGAUGAGUUCAUGGUAGUAGCACUCUCUCGGCUGUGGCUGCACGUUCAACUGGCCAGUCAAGGAGCUCCAGCAAGCAGGUAAAGUGGCGGGUUGGCGCAAGUCUUUGAGUUGCGAUGCGGAGCGCACUGCAGAGUGGCACGACGUACAAAGAGCUUUGCUGCUUGCAGGACCAGGAGUGCAGCAGCACGGGGGUGCCGGGAGAUGGACGCAGGCCAAGAAGAGGACCAUGACCGUACCAAGGAGGUGAUGAACACAACAAACAGCUGGUGUUCAGGGUGAGUUUCUUUUGUUCCCUG
Molecule: long non-coding RNA, 407 nt
Organism: Triticum aestivum (bread wheat)
Lineage: Eukaryota; Viridiplantae; Streptophyta; Magnoliopsida; Poales; Poaceae
Exons: 3
Source: RefSeq, a predicted model, not a curated record